This is a long non-coding RNA of Clupea harengus (Atlantic herring), 1692 nucleotides long. The record is from Ensembl. NCBI's taxonomy places the organism in Eukaryota, Metazoa, Chordata, Actinopteri, Clupeiformes, Clupeidae.
AGGACUUGUAAAGCUAUCCUUUGAUAGCCAAAUUAUUCUAAUAAAACAGGAUUUACGCAUUGAUUGACUUGGGAACAAUUGUGCUUUUCCCCCGCUAGCCAUGCACAGUCUGUUUCUGGACAUUAUAAAUUGUCUUGAAUUAUGUAGUCCUUAGAUUUGCAAGACAGUAAAUACGUUCCGUCAGUCAAAACGUGUUUAAAGCGUUGAGAGCAAAUUCAUUACUGCAGUCAAUGCGUAACCUGGUCUGGGAACGGGGGCCAGUCCAAGCCAGUGGGGGAACAAUGGCCCCUCAGUUCAAGUCCAACAAAAGACCUGUCGGACUUGUUUGAAUUUCAGAGCACGUCCUUUCUCACACAGAGGGAUGGACUAUACCCUGGCCAGAAGCAGCAGCCCCCCCACCCCACACCAACCAAUGAAAAAAAAGGGAGAAAAAAAAACAUGCCGACUCUCUCAGCCCAACAGUGCACUUUUCCAUUUUGGGCCGUGGACAAAUAGGUUAUGGGAAACUUCUCUCCCUCCCUCCCUACCUCCUCUUCACUCUCUCCGGCUCUCCACUCUCCCCACUUCUCUCUUGCACUUGGAAUAAGCCUCGGCUUACAGCAGUGCAACUGAGGCUCGCGUAAUGAACUAAGUAUAAGCGGCAAUUUUAAACGAAGUGGUGUCUAAACAGCACUGCGUACGGGAGCUUGUUUCCAUCCGGGAUGAAUAAAGACCAACGGGUUUAUCCUGGAAAAUAAGCAACUCAGAAACUCCACAACGUCCACAAAGGCCGUGGUGAAAGAUACAAGAACAAAUAUUUCUCAUGUAGAGGACAUUUUCUUCAGUACAAAAGGCAACUGUUACCUUAAAGAUACAGGGAAACUAUGGAGAGAAUUCAAAGACCUCCUUGAAAUCCAGCCUUUAUAGAGAAAACCUACACAAGGGGCGAGAUGAGAGGCAGCUCUUCUGAAGAGGUGAAGAUGGACAGCAAUCAGCGGAGGUCAAAGAUGUCUGUACCAUACCUCUUCGACAUUGGGUGGAACUAUGGGAAAACUCUGGACAUAGCAGUCUUCUUCCACAGCGCAAUAAAAGGAAAAUCCUGUUAUGGACAAGCUAAAGCUAAAAAUGACAGUUUAAUGAAGACUUGACUGUUUUUGUCAUGGCAACUGAUGCUUAAUAAGAGUACUGCCGGUUCCCCAAGACAAUUUCCUGCAAAUGUGAAAGGAAUGUUGGGAAAUGCUGAGAAUAUCUUCACCUUGCCACAAGUUGCCUCAGGGACCAGUACCACAGUGGCUGCACAGUUUUGUUUUAUGGAUCCCACAUAUCUUUGACAAUGUGGAAACAGGAUUAUAAAAAUACUACGCAAUCUAAAGCACUAUGAAACUACAACAUUCAUCAUCGAAUGUGUGCACUUUGAAAGUUACAUUUCCAUUCUGUGUUCUGUAUUGGAAAUUGUUGCUGUGUUUUUAUUUUACUUUGAAGAUUUGUCUUUAUUUUUCUAAUAAAUGAUAUGUUGUAUAAAACAGAAGAGAUCCUGCCUUUGUCUUGCUUUGAUUACCUCCGAGUGGAUUGUUGAAUAUUUAAUGCUGAGGUAUUAAAAUGAUCAGUCUAAGAAUCAUGGGGAUGAGAUGGCUCCUCUGGUGCUGUUUCAGAAGACUGAUGUGCUGUGAGCUGUCACCCGCUUGUCCAAAUGGAACAAAUGAUGUUCUGGGG